AGCGGCGGAUGGGUGAGUAACACGUGGGGAACCUGCCCCUAAGUCUGGGAUACCAUUUGGAAACAGGUGCUAAUACCGGAUAAUAAAGCAGAUCGCAUGAUCAGCUUUUGAAAGGCGGCGUAAGCUGUCGCUAAGGGAUGGCCCCGCGGUGCAUUAGCUAGUUGGUAAGGUAACGGCUUACCAAGGCGUCGAUGCAUAGCCGAGUUGAGAGACUGAUCGGCCACAUUGGGACUGAGACACGGCCCAAACUCCUACGGGAGGCAGCAGUAGGGAAUCUUCCACAAUGGACGCAAGUCUGAUGGAGCAACGCCGCGUGAGUGGAGAAGGUUUUCGGAUCGUAAAGCUCGGUUGUUGGUGAAGAAGGAUAGAGGUAGUAACUGGCCUUUAUUUGACGGUAAUCAACCAGAAAGUCACGGCUAACUACGUGCCAGCAGCCGCGGUAAUACGUAGGUGGCAAGCGUUGUCCGGAUUUAUUGGGCGUAAAGCGAGCGCAGGCGGAAAAAUAAGUCUAAUGUGAAAGCCCUCGGCUUAACCGAGGAACUGCAUCGGAAACUGUUUUUCUUGAGUGCAGAAGAGGAGAGUGGAACUCCAUGUGUAGCGGUGGAAUGCGUAGAUACAUGGAAGAACACCAGUGGCGAAGGCGGCUCUCUGGUCUGCAACUGACGCUGAGGCUCGAAAGCAUGGGUAGCGAACAGGAUUAGAUACCCUGGUAGUCCAUGCCGUAAACGAUGAGUGCUAAGUGU
This 743-nucleotide ribosomal RNA is filed under the name uncultured bacterium. Its description in RNAcentral is "bacterial SSU rRNA". It matches the Rfam family "Bacterial small subunit ribosomal RNA", at positions 94 to 823 of the family's 1533-position model. The record is from RNAcentral.